RNAcentral lists this ribosomal RNA (253 nucleotides) under uncultured Saccharofermentans sp. Its description in RNAcentral is "partial 16S ribosomal RNA". It matches the Rfam family "Bacterial small subunit ribosomal RNA", at positions 524 to 776 of the family's 1533-position model. The record is from RNAcentral. Lineage: Bacteria; Bacillati; Bacillota; Clostridia; Eubacteriales; Oscillospiraceae.
UACGUAGGUGGCAAGCGUUAUCCGGAUUUACUGGGUGUAAAGGGCGUGUAGGCGGUUCUGCAAGUCAGAUGUGAAAUCUCCGGGCUUAACCCGGAAGCUGCAUCUGAAACUGCAGAACUUGAGUACUGGAGAGGAUAGUGGAAUUCCUAGUGUAGCGGUAAAAUGCGUAGAUAUUAGGAGGAACACCAGUGGCGAAGGCGGCUAUCUGGACAGUAACUGACGCUGAGGCGCGAAAGCGUGGGGAGCAAACAGG